Molecule: ribosomal RNA, 844 nt
Filed under: uncultured archaeon
Lineage: Archaea
Description: bacterial SSU rRNA
Rfam family: Archaeal small subunit ribosomal RNA
Source: RNAcentral
GGCUACUGCCAUCAGAGUUCGAUUUAGCCAUGUUAGUCGAGGGUGCUUCUUCUUCGGGAGAAGUAACCCGGCGGACGGCUCAGCAACACGUGGAUAACUUGCCCUUGGGUCUGGGAUAGCCCCUGAGAAAUUGGGGACAAUACCAGAUAGGCCAUCGAUUGCUGGAAUGCACGAUGUCCAAAAGCUGAGGCGCCCAAGGAUAGGUCUGCGGCCGAUUAGGUUGUUGUUGAUGUAAUGGACCAACGAGCCUGCAAUCGGCACGGGUUGUGAGAGCAAGAGCCCGGAGAUGGGUUCUGAGACACGAUCCCAGGCCCUACGGGGCGCAGCAGGCGCGAAACCUUUACAAUGUGCGAAAGCACGAUAAGGGAACUCUGAGUGCCUCCUAUGGAGGCUGUUCAGGUGUCUAAAAAGCACUUGAAGUAAGGGCUGGGUAAGACCGGUGCCAGCCGCCGCGGUAACACCGGCAGCCCAAGUGGUAGCCACGAUUAUUGGGUCUAAAGCGUCCGUAGCCGGCCAGGUAAGUUCUUUGGGAAAUUUAAUCGCUCAACGGUUAAGCUUUCAGGGAAUACUGCUUGGCUUGGGACCGGGAGAGGUCAGAGGUACUUCAAGGGUAGGGGUGAAAUCCGUUAAUCCUUGAGGGACCACCAGUAGCGAAGGCGUCUGACCAGACCGGGUCCGACGGUGAGGGACGAAGGCUAGGGUCGCGAACCGGAUUAGAUACCCGGGUAGUCCUAGCUGUAAACGACGCGGGCCAGGUGUUGGCAUUACUGCGAGUGAUGCCAGUGCCGAAGGGAAGCCGUUAAGCCCGCCAUCUGGGGAGUACGGUCGCAAGGCUGAAACUUAA